GGAGAACCCAGAUUCAUAAAACAAGUUCUUAGAGAUAUACAAAGAGACUUACAUAACUGUAUCAUAAUGGUGGGAGACUUCAACACCUCACUGACAGUGUUAGACAGAUAAUUGAGGCCGAAAACCAGCAAAGAUAUUUGGGACCUAAACUCAACACUUGACCAAAUGAACCUAAUUGACAUCUGCAGAACACUCCACCCAACAACAAUAGAAUAUACACUCUAAGAUCAACCACACAUUUGGUCAUAAAGCAAUUCUUAACAAAUUCAGAAAAACUAAAUUCACACCAACCACACCAUAAAAAAAGAGCAAAUUAAUACCCAGAAGAUCUCUCAAAAUCAUACAAUUA
Molecule: long non-coding RNA, 349 nt
Filed under: Homo sapiens (human)
Lineage: Eukaryota; Metazoa; Chordata; Mammalia; Primates; Hominidae
Description: non-protein coding lnc-GADL1-5:1
Source: RNAcentral